Molecule: long non-coding RNA, 448 nt
Organism: Globicephala melas (long-finned pilot whale)
Lineage: Eukaryota; Metazoa; Chordata; Mammalia; Artiodactyla; Delphinidae
Source: RefSeq, a predicted model, not a curated record
AGAAGAAUGAGAAUGAUGAUAAUCCUUCUGUGAACCAGCAUCAGAUCCCCCCUGGCUCCUAUUUCAGUUAGUAGAACUUUGAUACCAUGCAUGUUGGAUUCAUGGUGUGAAUGUGACUCCCAAAGUUCCUUAAACAGAAUUCCUGAGAGCACAUGAUGUUCCAGUCGUUGUGCAGGGAUAAGAAUAUAGCAGUGAAGGAAUAUAAAGAGCCUCAUUCUCUUCUAGCCCCCCUGCUUCAGAAAAUGUUACCUUCAUGUUUAUAAAAGGAUUGUGCUGAUAUGUUGUUACUUUGAUGCCUAUUGUGAGACAUGCAUUAGACUGAAAAUCAGCAAACAUGAGGACUGGUCCUAACACUGACUCAUCCAGGUUGGAUAUCAUGUCUUUGGAGAAGUCUUCUCUGCACCCCUCUCCCAAUAAAGCUAAACAUUCUUCCACCAUGUGCUGUCCU